UAAUGCUUAUUCAUUCAUUUUGAGUCGUCAAGUUUCCGAACAUAUCAUCAAAUAUAUUCUGUAAUAGUGUUCUAAUCGUUUCAUAGAGCUUUUUUAAACUUGUUAUUAUGUGGUCGUUCAAGUCAACGUACAAGUCAUUGCAAUUUUAAACUGAAUUUAUCCAAGUUCUAGGUUCGUCUCCAGUUUGCUUGACGGCUGCAAACCGCCCUUUCGACGUCCUAGAGGCGCCCUCUGCAGGCGCACGUAGGAAGUGGCGCUCCGCACGCGGCGCGCUGAUACCUUCGGCCGCCGCUGUGCUGCGGUCUCCGCCGGGAUUUGCCGACGUGUUUCUCGAGGGUGCCCGUCACGUGCUCCCUCGGUCCGGAACAACUUGGAGGUCAAAGUGGAGGGUUCAGCGUAGGUGUUGCCUUGCAGUCUGAAGGUCCCCAGCUGAAUGGCCCUCCUGCUGCCACGUGCUGAGCGCAGCCUGCACACACUUCCACGAGGAAGUACAGGCUGAGGAUUGUAGUUGUACGCAGCCAAGUUUGUCCGUUUCCUUGGACAGCGAUGGCACUGAGAACACAGGUACGGGGGGUUAGCGUCGCAGGCGAUCCUGCAGGCAUCUGAGAAUAAAGGCUCUGUCUCUGUCGGCCAUGGGAAGCUGCUGGCAGAGCUCCGUCAGUUCGGUGAAAAGCGCCGUGAGCUUCCCGCCGUGGGCCAGCAGGUGCGGAGCUGCCGGCCCCAGGUGCCACAGGCCAGAGGGCAGGUGGCGGCAGUGGAGCAGACGCUCGAAGGCCCGCUGGAUCGCAAGGCGGGCCGCAAACAGGAAGAGCUCGUCGGAGGACAUGGGCAUCGCGUGGCUGGGCGCAGCGCUUCUCGUGGCUUUCAGCUGGGGAGCACAGUAAAGUGGGAAACUGAGCCACGUUGCCCUCCGCCUUACCUUGCUGUGGUGGCAGGUGGGCAACAACCUCUGGAACAGUCCUCACCUGUGCACAGGUACCCACGCUGGCUUUGACCUGCCGGCCCAUGGCGAGAAAGGACACAAAGAUGCUCUCCUGUCCAAGGAUGCGGACAGCCAUGCUGCGGUUCAGGUGUAGGAACAGGGGUCUGAAUGUGCAGGGACUACGAUGGCGCUCCGUCCAUUUCCACUUUCGUGUUCGGGCACCACUCUGAUCUGAACAGUGGCCCCCCGAAGGGUCCAUACUUAACCUGUGCAUAGGACAGCAGCGCAGGAAGCAGAGCCAUUAUUACCCAGACAUUGUCAAACUCUACGGUGUACCCUUUUAUGAACAGCAAUACAACAUUGAAACAGACAUGUGAAAUAUAAAAAAACUGAAAUUUGUAAA
This is a long non-coding RNA of Scleropages formosus (Asian bonytongue), 1325 nucleotides long. RefSeq lists it as uncharacterized. The record is from RefSeq and is a predicted model, not a curated record. The transcript is spliced from 2 exons. NCBI's taxonomy places the organism in Eukaryota, Metazoa, Chordata, Actinopteri, Osteoglossiformes, Osteoglossidae.